GAUGAACGCUGGCGGCGUGCCUAAUACAUGCAAGUCGAGCGAACGGACGAGAAGCUUGCUUCUCUGAUGUUAGCGGCGGACGGGUGAGUAACACGUGGAUAACCUACCUAUAAGACUGGGAUAACUUCGGGAAACCGGAGCUAAUACCGGAUGAUAUUUUGAACCGCAUGGUUCAAAAGUGAAAGACGGUCUUGCUGUCACUUAUAGAUGGAUCCGCGCUGCAUUAGCUAGUUGGUAAGGUAACGGCUUACCAAGGCAACGAUGCAUAGCCGACCUGAGAGGGUGAUCGGCCACACUGGAACUGAGACACGGUCCAGACUCCUACGGGAGGCAGCAGUAGGGAAUCUUCCGCAAUGGGCGAAAGCCUGACGGAGCAACGCCGCGUGAGUGAUGAAGGUCUUCGGAUCGUAAAACUCUGUUAUUAGGGAAGAACAUAUGUGUAAGUAACUGUGCACAUCUUGACGGUACCUAAUCAGAAAGCCACGGCUAACUACGUGCCAGCAGCCGCGGUAAUACGUAGGUGGCAAGCGUUAUCCGGAAUUAUUGGGCGUAAAGCGCGCGUAGGCGGUUUUUUAAGUCUGAUGUGAAAGCCCACGGCUCAACCGUGGAGGGUCAUUGGAAACUGGAAAACUUGAGUGCAGAAGAGGAAAGUGGAAUUCCAUGUGUAGCGGUGAAAUGCGCAGAGAUAUGGAGGAACACCAGUGGCGAAGGCGACUUUCUGGUCUGUAACUGACGCUGAUGUGCGAAAGCGUGGGGAUCAAACAGGAUUAGAUACCCUGGUAGUCCACGCCGUAAACGAUGAGUGCUAAGUGUUAGGGGGUUUCCGCCCCUUAGUGCUGCAGCUAACGCAUUAAGCACUCCGCCUGGGGAGUACGACCGCAAGGUUGAAACCCAAAGGAAUUGACGGGGACCCGCACAAGCGGUGGAGCAUGUGGUUUAAUUCGAAGCAACGCGAAGAACCUUACCAAAUCUUGACAUCCUUUGACAACUCUAGAGAUAGAGCCUUCCCCUUCGGGGGACAAAGUGACAGGUGGUGCAUGGUUGUCGUCAGCUCGUGUCGUGAGAUGUUGGGUUAAGUCCCGCAACGAGCGCAACCCUUAAGCUUAGUUGCCAUCAUUAAGUUGGGCACUCUAAGUUGACUGCCGGUGACAAACCGGAGGAAGGUGGGGAUGACGUCAAAUCAUCAUGCCCCUUAUGAUUUGGGCUACACACGUGCUACAAUGGACAAUACAAAGGGCAGCGAAACCGCGAGGUCAAGCAAAUCCCAUAAAGUUGUUCUCAGUUCGGAUUGUAGUCUGCAACUCGACUACAUGAAGCUGGAAUCGCUAGUAAUCGUAGAUCAGCAUGCUACGGUGAAUACGUUCCCGGGUCU
RNAcentral lists this ribosomal RNA (1372 nucleotides) under uncultured bacterium. RNAcentral's name for it is "bacterial SSU rRNA". It matches the Rfam family "Bacterial small subunit ribosomal RNA", at positions 28 to 1381 of the family's 1533-position model. The record is from RNAcentral.